This is a long non-coding RNA of Coffea eugenioides, 540 nucleotides long. RefSeq lists it as uncharacterized. The record is from RefSeq and is a predicted model, not a curated record. Lineage: Eukaryota; Viridiplantae; Streptophyta; Magnoliopsida; Gentianales; Rubiaceae. The transcript has 3 exons.
CUGGCAAAGAACUCGUACAAGAGUUGAUUUGAGCUGAAUACAAGCAGUAUUAUCCAUUAAUAUAUUCUUCUGUUCUUCAAACAUCUCUGUGAAGAUGUCUUCCUGUGGAGGAAACUGCGGAAACAUGUAUCCUGAUGUGGAAAAGGUCACAACUGUGACCAUCAUCGAGGGAGUUGCACCAAAGAACACAUACUCUGAUGAAUCUGCUGAGAAAAGCUCUGGUGCUGAAGGAGGUCAUGGCUGCAAGUGUGGUGCAAACUGCAAAUGUGACCCUUGUACCUGUUGAAGACAUAAUAUAUAGUUAGUUUAAGUCCCCCAAAGCAGCUGUUCUGAUCUUGUCAUCAAGAAAACUCUUUGGGGGGGAAAAAGAAGUGCUUUUGAUGUGGUCUGUGCUUGUAAUAUAUAAUAAGAUGGUCAUGGCUUCUGCAAAUCUUUGUACUAGAUUUGUCAGAUAAAUCAUGGCCAUGCACUCCUGAGUCCUUGUAACCAUCCUUGUUUUGUGUCAGUUUACUGAAUUGCAAUGCUUGCUUAUUGAAGAAA